RNAcentral lists this unclassified non-coding RNA (231 nucleotides) under plant metagenome. RNAcentral describes it as "partial contains small subunit ribosomal RNA, internal transcribed spacer 1, and 5.8S ribosomal RNA". The record is from RNAcentral.
UCUCCGUUGGUGAACCAGCGGAGGGAUCAUUACAGAGUUGCAAAACUCCCAAACCAUUGUGAACGUUACCUAUCCCGUUGCUUCGGCGGGCGGCCCGGGCCCCGUGCCCGGCGCCCCCCGGCCCCCCGUGGGCCCCCGCCGGAGGUAAACCAACCCCUUGAAUUGUGUUGCCUCUCUGAGUCUUCUGUACUGAAUAAGUCAAAACUUCCAACAACGGAUCUCUUGGUUCUG